This 483-nucleotide ribosomal RNA is filed under the name Trichoderma sp. FLS-2010. Its description in RNAcentral is "eukaryotic LSU rRNA". The stretch from base 165 to 318 matches the Rfam family "5.8S ribosomal RNA". The record is from RNAcentral. Lineage: Eukaryota; Fungi; Ascomycota; Sordariomycetes; Hypocreales; Hypocreaceae.
CCAAUCUGUUGCCUCGGCGGGAUUUCUGCCCCGGGUGCGUCGCAGCCCCGGACCAAGGCGCCCGCCGGAGGACCAACCAAAACUCUUUUUGUAUACCCCCUCGCGGGUUUUUUAUAAUCUGAGCCUUCUCGGCGCCUCUAGUAGGCGUUUCGAAAAUGAAUCAAAACUUUCAACAACGGAUCUCUUGGUUCUGGCAUCGAUGAAGAACGCAGCGAAAUGCGAUAAGUAAUGUGAAUUGCAGAAUUCAGUGAAUCAUCGAAUCUUUGAACGCACAUUGCGCCCGCCAGUAUUCUGGCGGGCAUGCCUGUCCGAGCGUCAUUUCAACCCUCGAACCCCUCCGGGGGGUCGGCGUUGGGGAUCGGCCCUCCCUUAGCGGGUGGCCGUCUCCGAAAUACAGUGGCGGUCUCGCCGCAGCCUCUCCUGCGCAGUAGUUUGCACACUCGCAUCGGGAGCGCGGCGCGUCCACAGCCGUUAAACACCCAA